Molecule: long non-coding RNA, 1152 nt
Filed under: Bos indicus x Bos taurus (hybrid cattle)
Lineage: Eukaryota; Metazoa; Chordata; Mammalia; Artiodactyla; Bovidae
Description: lncRNA (ENSBIXG00000018967.1)
Source: RNAcentral
AUGAGGAGAGGUCGGCUUCUCAGGCGAGGCCACGUCGAGGCCACGAGAGCCCACAGCUGCAAAGGCCUUGGAUAUCCAAUGUCAAGUGUUCCCGAUCAGAAACUUGCCUCCCAGGGCCUGGAGGAGACACAGGCAGCCACGUGGACAAGGGUGAACUCUGGCCCUCUGCCUUCACCGUUCACCCAGACGUCUCUUUCCAGUGAGUUGGGGGAGUUAAGUAUAGAAGGCCACUCAGCCGUGGGGCGCACACGCUGCCAUGUGUCACUGUCCCAGACCUCACGGUCCAUGAUGAAUAAAACCAUUCUGGUUUUGCCUUGGAAGAGGCCACAGUGGAUGCAUUAAAGGCACCAUCUACCAAGUAACACAAUAAGUUAUUGUUGCCUUGCAAACCUUAAUCACUAGGAAGGAUACUCGCAGGCCCUGCUGGAGGAAUGAUGGAGGGGUGGUAUCCUUAAAAUAGCAGGGUGGUCAGGGGUGGCCUCUCCCAGGAGGCAGACUUUUAAACCGGGACCCAAAGGAGGAAGAGAUGCAAGUGCAGUGAUCUUCUGGGGAAAGGUCGGGGGGCGGGAGGAACUAGGGGACCAAUGUGAAUGGAGAGAGGCUACACCUGAGGACUCCUCACAGGCCACAGUGAGGAGUUCAGACUCAGUCCUGAGGGAACUGGAAAUGAAGGAGAAGAUGGACAGGACAGGCUCCAUCUUGAAAGCAGGACUCCUUCUCGGGCCGGACUGUGGACUUUGAGCUAUAUGCCCAGGAUCUAUGGAAACGACACACCAACUGGAAAACCAGGCCCCCGGAAGGAAGAGCCCCAGGGCUCAUACCUAGACUCUCCUUUGCCUGGAAGGAUACCCUAAUUAUCUGUGUAACCGAAUAGAAUCGUACAUUCUAUUGUGUUUAUUGGGGUUUGACCACAGGCCUAUUGAUAAUUGUCCUCUGUCAAAUACCUGGGCUUAAGGCACAUGAAUCACGGUUAACUUUGAUUGUAUCUUUCUUGUCCUUUGUUCAGACUAGUUUCUGGGACUUGGGGAGGUGGGUUUGGGCACAUACACUUAGGGUAUAUAAAGUUUUCACAGAAACUGGUUGGGGUCCUUGGCUAAGAGGAGACUCUGCCUUGGGCCCGCAAGUGUAAUAAAGUGCACUCCACUCUCUGCA